RNAcentral lists this ribosomal RNA (117 nucleotides) under Longimicrobiales bacterium. The record is from RNAcentral. RNAcentral also lists the same sequence under 1 other name. Lineage: Bacteria; Pseudomonadati; Gemmatimonadota; Longimicrobiia; Longimicrobiales.
GUCGGUGGCUAUUGCGUGAGGGCUACACCCGUUCCCAUCCCGAACACGGCCGUUAAGUCUCACCGCGCGGAUGGUACUGCCGGGGUCGCCCGGUGGGAGAGUACGUCGCUGCCGACU